GCCGCAGUAGCUCAGUAGGUAGAGCGUUACCUUGGUAAGGUAAAGGUCCCGAGUUCAAUCCUCGGCUGUGGCU
RNAcentral lists this transfer RNA (73 nucleotides) under Candidatus Pacearchaeota archaeon. Its description in RNAcentral is "tRNA-Thr". It matches the Rfam family "tRNA". From Rfam's summary of the family: Transfer RNA (tRNA) molecules are approximately 80 nucleotides in length. The record is from RNAcentral. Lineage: Archaea; Nanobdellati.